This is a long non-coding RNA of Gymnodraco acuticeps, 788 nucleotides long. RefSeq lists it as uncharacterized. The record is from RefSeq and is a predicted model, not a curated record. NCBI's taxonomy places the organism in Eukaryota, Metazoa, Chordata, Actinopteri, Perciformes, Bathydraconidae. The transcript is spliced from 3 exons.
AGAAAUGACGGAACUUUGACAUUUCAAUUUCAGACAAGAAAAAUAACAAUAACAAAAGAAGUCCUUUUGGCUGUCACUGACAAGCUUCGAGCCACAACCAAAACAAAAGACAACGAUGAAGGUGACGAGAAAGACACUUUCUGGGGCGAGGUGUGUCAGGAGCUUGGAAUAUCCGAUUCCAAGACCAAUAGGACACGGCUUCAUCAUGCCUAUAAUCAUCAUAAAAAGAUGAGACACAAGACACAGAUGGUGACCGCAGCACCUGCCAGCCCAUCGACAGACAGUGACCACACGGCCUGCCCCAUCGACAGUGACCACAGUUCCACUGACAUUGACCGCACAGUGCCUGCUACCCCAUCGUCGGUUAGACAGGCAUUCACAGAGACGAGUGAACCAGAAGACGUUUCAGAGUGUAAUUCAUCAGGGACAUAUGACUCCUCAUCACACUCAAAAGAUGGGCAACUCUUACACUCAUUUAAAUUGCCUUCAAAUCCUUCAUUUUUUUUUGUCACUAAAAGUGACUGGAAGAAACUGAGGAUGAGACAACAUAAGCGUCGAUUCAAAUCUUUAAACUGGACUUCAGUCAUGGCCACUGGCAUCCGGAGUGUCCACCCACACUGUUGCUUUGUCUUCAAAUCUCACAGUGUGCGAACAGUUCGGUCAAAAAGGAAAGGGUCACUUUUUUCAUGUGUUGGCUACUGUCGAUUUGAUGACUGUCCUGUGGAGGUCGAAGUUGACAUUGAGGAUGAGUCAUCCCUUAAGGCAGUUGUGACCUUCAGAGGUGAAAA